This 407-nucleotide ribosomal RNA is filed under the name uncultured bacterium. RNAcentral's name for it is "partial 16S ribosomal RNA". It matches the Rfam family "Bacterial small subunit ribosomal RNA", at positions 28 to 525 of the family's 1533-position model. The record is from RNAcentral.
GACGAACGCUGGCGGCGUGCUUAACACAUGCAAGUCGAACGGAGUGGCGAACGGGGGAGUAACACGUGGAUGACCUUCCCUGCACUUCGGGGUAAGCCUGGGAAAAUGGGUCUAAUACCGGAUAGUGUGGGAUGGGCGCGCGGCAUAUCGGCUUGGUGGUGGGGUAAUGGCCUGACAAAGCGGCGCCGGGUAGCCGGCCUGAGAGGGUGGACGGCCCCAUUGGCACUGGGACACGGCCCAGAGUCAUACGGGAGGCAGCAGGGGGGAAUAUCGCACAAUGGGCGGAAGCCUGAUGCAGCGACGCCGCGUGGGGGAUGACGUUCUUCGGGGUGUAAAUUCCUUGCACCAGAGACGCGGUAGAUGGAGAAGAAGCACCGGCUAACUCCGUGCAAGCAGCCGCGGUAAUU